Molecule: long non-coding RNA, 442 nt
Filed under: Olea europaea subsp. europaea
Lineage: Eukaryota; Viridiplantae; Streptophyta; Magnoliopsida; Lamiales; Oleaceae
Source: RNAcentral
UUUCUGGGGAAAAAAAAAAUCUGCCAAAUUCAUAUAUUCAUAUCUUCAGGAAAAUUCCAGUGUUAGCCCAUCUAAAGAUUGCUUUUCAUCAUACAAAACUGAAAGUAAAGGCAUAACUACUCUAAGUACAUUCGAAGGAUCAAAAUUUUCAAGAGCUAUUUUGCCGAUUAAUUUACAUAUACAUUGGUUGAAAUAAAAUAUGAUAUAAUUUAAGAAUCAUUACAUUCUUGCCAGCAAACUAACAUGGCGACACACCGCCGGAGAAUGUAAAAUCUUGCCCUUUGCUCCUUCACUAGGCGGCUAAACCUCUGCCCGAAUGACCUCCGCGGCGGCCGUCGGCACUUCUCCCCGAAGCUAUUCUGUUCUUCUUCUUUCAUGGCGAGAGAGAGAGAGAGAGAGAGAGAGAGAGAGAGAGAGAUUGGAGGGGUGAAGAGGGUUCAAU